CCAUUCCAUUGGCCUUGGACCAGAAACAGACAAAGGAUUAUCACCCUCUCUAGGAAUAACUAGCAUCUUGACGUCUGCUAUUUAAAAGAGUUCCUAUUAUUCGUUUUCAGCACUUUCCUGAAUUAAAACCAACGUCAAAGAAUUAAGCAAGCAAAAUAAAAUGAACGAGAUGAAAUAUAAUGAAUUUUUUAUUAAGCUACAAACUAGGUAAGCCUAAAAUCUAGGAUUUGUGGCAAUGUCAAGAUAUACAAAUAUUCCAAACUUAAAAUCUCAACCAUGUCUAAUCCUGCCUCCACUACUUUUCCUUCACUUGAUCACCAAAAUAUUAAUUAAGGUUAAAGGAGUUAACAUAGAAGUAGAACGCCAAAUUAUACCAAUUCCAAGCGAAUAAAUCUCAUAGUGAAGUUAAAUUUUCUGAAAGGUGAGGUGACCAAGGCCCUAAUGCAUACCACAUCCCAUGCAUACCGUUGAUAGAGCUAAACAGAGAAACUGAAAUUGGACAAUGUAGACGAAUCCCACGAGAAGUAAAGACACCAGGAUCCACAAGAAAAUCAAUUCAAGACCCUACAAGAAGCUACAUCUUUACUGAAUAUUAAUCAUUUCAAAAUGACUAUAGAAACAUAUUAAACAAGAUCUGAAUGUCGAUUCUAUAGAACACCAAAGUAAAUAAACCCACAAGCAACAAAAGCUCAAAACUCAUAGCACUCAGUUCAACAUUGAGAACUAACAGUUGCUUUAUAUUCCAACAAGAUUAAAUGAGAAAAAAUUGGGCUACGCAUUAAUAACGACUAAAGAAAACAUUAUUUAACGUUUUUAACUUGAAUCAUAUAAUCCUCUUAAUAAUGGUGUUCACUGGGGAAAAAAAGGCAAAAAUGGAUGCAAUUGCUAUCUUCGAGAUCAAAAAGGAAAGAAUUUUUCAAAUCUUUAAGUAUUAACCGAAUUCUUACACUGGAAAACAAUAGAAGCUAAAUAAAAUCCCAAAUAAGAGUUCCGUGCACUGUUAUUAGGGAGAUUUCUCUCUGGUAAAAGAGAGAUAGGGUACCUUUUUCGUAGAUGUCUGGUAAACCCUAGAGGUUUCUUCCCCGCUACUACUUGAGCAAGAUUG
RNAcentral lists this unclassified non-coding RNA (1105 nucleotides) under Hevea brasiliensis (rubber tree). Lineage: Eukaryota; Viridiplantae; Streptophyta; Magnoliopsida; Malpighiales; Euphorbiaceae. The record is from RNAcentral.